ACUUCACUGAUCACCACCAUCCACCUUUAGAACAGUCUCAUCACCUUGAAGGGAAUCCUUCAUCCUCAUCACCCCAAAGGGAAAGCUUGUAUCCACUGAGAAGUCUUACAAUUCUUACCAGGAUGUUCUGGAUGGUGUGCAUGGUCAUGCCUUGUCUGUGUUUGGGUCACACUGUUGGAGGUGAUUAGCUGGUCAUCCCCAGCAGACACAAAGAGGUCUCACGAAUUCC
RNAcentral lists this small RNA (229 nucleotides) under Bos taurus (domestic cattle). Lineage: Eukaryota; Metazoa; Chordata; Mammalia; Artiodactyla; Bovidae. The record is from RNAcentral.